RNAcentral lists this ribosomal RNA (429 nucleotides) under Chloroflexota bacterium. RNAcentral describes it as "Chloroflexi bacterium partial 16S ribosomal RNA". It matches the Rfam family "Bacterial small subunit ribosomal RNA", at positions 355 to 776 of the family's 1533-position model. Lineage: Bacteria; Bacillati; Chloroflexota. The record is from RNAcentral.
UGGGGAAUAUUGCACAAUGGGCGCAAGCCUGAUGCAGCCAUGUCGCGUGUAUGAAGAAGGCCUUCGGGUUGUAAAGCACUUUCAGCGGGGAGGAAGGCGGUGAGGUUAAUAACCUCAUCGAUUGACGUUACCCGCAGAAGAAGCACCGGCUAACUCCGUGCCAGCAGCCGCGGUAAUACGGAGGGUGCAAGCGUUAAUCGGAAUUACUGGGCGUAAAGCGCACGCAGGCGGUCUGUCAAGUCGGAUGUGAAAUCCCCGGGCUCAACCUGGGAACUGCAUUCGAAACUGGCAGGCUAGAGUCUUGUAGAGGGGGGUAGAAUUCCAGGUGUAGCGGUGAAAUGCGUAGAGAUCUGGAGGAAUACCGGUGGCGAAGGCGGCCCCCUAGACAAAGACUAACGCUCAGGUGCGAAAGCGUGGGGAGCAAACAGG